AGGAACAAUGUAUUGCAGCCUCAUCUUUGCAAUGUCAGAGUUACCUAUGUCCAAUUACACCUUCAAAUAAAAUUAUACAGUAUCAGCAAUAGAACCAAACUGAGAGUUCUGCAUCAACAAAGCUCAGUCCUGUUCAAAGGUUCAGAAGACAAUGAAGCUCCUCAGCUAAUUCUUACAUACAAAUAGGAAUUAUUUACAUGUGGAUAUGGGAUCUCCACCACC
This is a long non-coding RNA of Rhodamnia argentea, 222 nucleotides long. RefSeq lists it as uncharacterized. Lineage: Eukaryota; Viridiplantae; Streptophyta; Magnoliopsida; Myrtales; Myrtaceae. The record is from RefSeq and is a predicted model, not a curated record. The transcript has 3 exons.